GUGACAUAAAAGAUUUAAUGAGCUUUUUACUAAUAGCUGCAGCGGAUGGAUAAAGUUGAUAACUAAGUUUUAAAAUAUGCAGUUUUGUUUAUAGUUAUAAAGUAAGUAGCAUAUUAUUCUUAUACGAUAAAAGUAGUUUAUUUGCCAGUGUUGAAAGAAAAUUUUAAAAUUUCACUUGUAUUCACACAUAUCUUGGAGUGCCCUGAAAUGAUACAAGGCACAAAAUUACUUUUGACUUCGCAGAAGAAUAUUUGAAUACUGUAAGAUCUAGAGGAAUGAGGACUUUGUGUGCCUCCCACAAGGCACAACUUAUCACAACUUAUCACAGUGCCAUGCACAUGGUGGGUUUUUUAGUUUUCAUUGAAUGAAUGCAUGAAUUUAAUAUAAAGACAUCCUUUCAUGUUCUCCUUAAAGAGAAAUGACAAGUGACACACAAGGGUACCGGAAGAAACGGUCUUCAUUCUCCAGGGAAGGCGUUAAGCAUUGAUACAUCUCCACUGAUAUGAGCUAUUACAUACAUAUUUUUUGGAUGGUAAUUAGAAGCAGCCCAAAUGAUUUUACUGAUUGUCUUCUUGGCACCCAGUAACCUAGGACUUGACUCUUGAUUCUACCAUACUUACUAGGAAUAUGAUCAUAUUCAUUGGGGGAAAAUUAGAAAAUUAAAACAAAUUUAAAAAUAUAGGUCAGAAAGCCUUGUGGGGUAUAUAAGUAGAUGCUUUGUUACUGUUCUUUUCUCUCAUUUCUCUUUUCCUUAGACAAUUGAUUGGUCCUAUUUUCAAUUGCUAUCUCCAGGCAGUGUUGAUUGGGCAUUUUAUACCCCGACACUGAACGUGUUCCCAUCAUUGCCAUGUUUGGAACUAUAAACCCAGACUCUAUCUCUCCAAACCAGGUUGCUUUCCUAUUCCAUUUCUGUGGUAGUGCUGUUGUUCUAAUCGCCCAGGCUGUAAUUAUCUCUGCAUAGCCACGUGUCCUUGUGUUUAUGAGUGGCCAUGGCUGCUCUGUUCUGGAUUGUGGGUAAUUCAAAGGUGUAGAAGAGAUUUUGAAUCCAGUGAGACCAAAUGUGUAAAAGCAAGUGUGGGGGAGAGAAGGAAAAAAACGGAUACUCUUGGACUUUUUGAUGAAAGAUACAGAUGGUAUCUGACUGACUUCAAGGUACUGAGGUCGAUCUGUUUCAGGGCAAGAGACAUGGCGGGAGAAAUCUCCACAUUCCUUGGCCUGAAAUGUAUUUGUAUAUAUGUUACCUGUUGACUUGCUUCAUAUCUGUAUGCCAACAUAGCUUACUAUUUAAAGGAAGCCAAUUAAAUUUGUAUUUCCCCAUUACUGUAUUUUAUGUGCCAAACACAUUGAUUCUUAGCUCCAUGUUUCCAGGCUAUCUUAGUGUAACUGUUGAUUGAUGAAAUGAACUACCACGUGCCACGGACCAUCUUCCACAUUGGCAUUGAAACAGAGAUGGCAAUACUAUUUAAGAUACUGAAGACAUGAGCCUGGCCUUGGGGUAAGGGGUUGGACUAGCUCUCCAGUGACUCCUUCGAACAUUAAGAUUCACAAGAUGAGUAUUCAGUG
RNAcentral lists this long non-coding RNA (1563 nucleotides) under Marmota monax (woodchuck). Lineage: Eukaryota; Metazoa; Chordata; Mammalia; Rodentia; Sciuridae. The record is from RNAcentral.